RNAcentral lists this ribosomal RNA (450 nucleotides) under uncultured bacterium. RNAcentral's name for it is "bacterial SSU rRNA". It matches the Rfam family "Bacterial small subunit ribosomal RNA", at positions 340 to 782 of the family's 1533-position model. The record is from RNAcentral.
UACGGAAGGCAGCAGUGGGGAAUAUUGCACAAUGGGCGCAAGCCUGAUGCAGCCAUGCCGCGUGUAUGAAGAAGGCCUUCGGGUUGUAAAGUACUUUCAGUCGUGAGGAAGGUGUUAAGGUUAAUAACCUUAGCAAUUGACGUUAGCGACAGAAGAAGCACCGGCUAACUCCGUGCCAGCAGCCGCGGUAAUACGGAGGGUGCGAGCGUUAAUCGGAAUUACUGGGCGUAAAGGGCACGCAGGCGGUUAAUUAAGUUGGAUGUGAAAUCCCCGGGCUUAACCUGGGAAUGGCAUUCAAGACUGGUUAGCUAGAGUCUUGUAGAGGGGGUAGAAUUCCAUGUGUAGCGGUGAAAUGCGUAGAGAUGUGGAGGAAUACCGGUGGCGAAGGCGGCCCCUGGACAAAGACUGACGCUCAUGUGCGAAAGCGUGGGGAGCAAACGAGGGAUUAGA